GCGGAAGUAGCUCAGUUGGCAGAGCAAUAGUAUAAAAUUUCCUUUAUCAAACAACUUAGCCGAAAGGAAUGAUAGAUGAAGGUUAUCAUGGAACUAUGGGUCGGAGGUUCAAUUCCUUCCUUCCGCA
Molecule: transfer RNA, 127 nt
Filed under: Chitinophagaceae bacterium
Lineage: Bacteria; Pseudomonadati; Bacteroidota; Chitinophagia; Chitinophagales; Chitinophagaceae
Description: tRNA-OTHER
Rfam family: tRNA
About the family: Transfer RNA (tRNA) molecules are approximately 80 nucleotides in length. Their secondary structure includes four short double-helical elements and three loops (D, anti-codon, and T loops). Further hydrogen bonds mediate the characteristic L-shaped molecular structure. tRNAs have two regions of fundamental functional importance: the anti-codon, which is responsible for specific mRNA codon recognition, and the 3' end, to which the tRNAs corresponding amino acid is attached (by aminoacyl-tRNA synthetases). tRNAs cope with the degeneracy of the genetic code in two manners: having more than one tRNA (with a specific anti-codon) for a particular amino acid; and 'wobble' base-pairing, i.e. permitting non-standard base-pairing at the 3rd anti-codon position.
Source: RNAcentral